Molecule: ribosomal RNA, 482 nt
Filed under: uncultured bacterium
Lineage: Bacteria
Description: partial 16S ribosomal RNA
Rfam family: Bacterial small subunit ribosomal RNA
Source: RNAcentral
GACGAACGCUGGCGGCGUGCUUAACACAUGCAAGUCGAACGAUGAAGAAGAGAAACGCGAACUUCGGUUCAACUUUCACUUCGGAUUAGUGGCAGACGGGUGAGUAACGCGUGAGCAACCUACCUCUUACAAAGGGAUAGCCUCGGGAAACCGUGAUUAAUACCAUAUGACACAUUCAUAAGGCAUCUUAAGAAUGUUAAAGCUACGGCGGUAAGAGAUGGGCUCGCGUCCCAUUAGCUAGUUGGUGAGGUAACGGCCCACCAAGGCGACGAUGGGUAACCGGCCUGAGAGGGUGAACGGUCACAUUGGAACUGAGACACGGUCCAAACUCCUACGGGAGGCAGCAGUGGGGAAUAUUGCACAAUGGAGGGAACUCUGAUGCAGCGACGCCGCGUGAGCGAUGAAGGAAUUCGUGUCGUAAAGCUCUGUUCUAUGGGAAGAAAAGGACUGUACCAUAGGAGAAAGCCCCGGCUAAAUACGUG